ACGGGACGCAGCAGUGGGGAAUAUUGCACAAUGGGGGAAACCCUGAUGCAGCGACGCCGCGUGAGCGAAGAAGUAUUUCGGUAUGUAAAGCUCUAUCAGCAGGGAAGAAAAUGACGGUACCUGACUAAGAAGCCCCGGCUAAAUACGUGCCAGCAGCCGCGGUAAUACGUCUGGGGCAAGCGUUAUCCGGAUUUACUGGGUGUAAAGGGAGCGCAGGCGGCUUGGCAAGUCUGAUGUGAAAGGCUGGGGCUCAACCCCAGGACUGCAUUG
This 270-nucleotide ribosomal RNA is filed under the name uncultured bacterium. RNAcentral describes it as "partial 16S ribosomal RNA". It matches the Rfam family "Bacterial small subunit ribosomal RNA", at positions 341 to 628 of the family's 1533-position model. The record is from RNAcentral.